UGUUAUCAUCGAAAGCCAGAAGCAUCAUGCAAGGUUUGCAAUAAGUGUUGGACCAAGGUUCCAAAAGAGUAGAGGUUUAGGUGAA
Telopea speciosissima is the source of this 85-nucleotide long non-coding RNA. RefSeq lists it as uncharacterized. The record is from RefSeq and is a predicted model, not a curated record. Lineage: Eukaryota; Viridiplantae; Streptophyta; Magnoliopsida; Proteales; Proteaceae. The transcript is spliced from 3 exons.